This is a long non-coding RNA of Xyrauchen texanus (razorback sucker), 298 nucleotides long. RefSeq lists it as uncharacterized. The transcript is spliced from 3 exons. NCBI's taxonomy places the organism in Eukaryota, Metazoa, Chordata, Actinopteri, Cypriniformes, Catostomidae. The record is from RefSeq and is a predicted model, not a curated record.
CCGCCAUGAAACAAAGAAGAAGUGCUUGCCUGACUUGCGUGACCACCACCAUGGAUUCGGCUGGGACAAAUACGAUUCCUGCUGCUCCAGUAGCUCUGAUCGACUUCUCCUCUGCUAAAGCCAAAAAAAAAAAAGCUUGACCGUUCUAUUGAUGGCAGGACAACUGAAAACCAGUUAUGGAUGCAAACAUGAAGCACAAGCCAGAGGAGUCUAUGAGAAGCUGAUGGGUCGGGAGCAUGCAGGCUUCUCCUGUAUGGACAGUGGUCUCUGGCUGAACCCCAAGUGGCCAUACAUGGGG